GUCGGCGGUUUGCGCUUCGGUGGCGGCUCAGGCUUUGGUUCGGGUUUGGGUUCUGGUUUAGGCAUCGGUUCAGGCUUGGGCUCGGGUUUUGGUUCAGGUUUAGGCAUGGGCUUAGGCAUGGGCUCAGGCUUUGGUUCUGGUUUAGGCAUUGGCUUAGGCUUGGGUUCGGGUUUUGGCUCUGGUUUGGGCAUUGGCUCAGGCUUGGGUUCUGGUUUAGGCAUGGGCUCAGGCUUUGGUUCCGGUUUAAUUGGCUCAGGCUUCGGUUCCGGCUUAGGCAUUGGCUCGGGCUUGGGCUCAGGUUUUGGCUCAGGUUUAGGCAUUGGCUCGGGUUUGGGCUCAGGUUUAGGCUCAGGUUUAGGCACUGGCUCAGGCUUAGGCUCGGGUUUAGGCUCAGGUUUAGGCACUGGCUUAGGCAUGGGCUCGGGUUUUGGUUCCGGUUUAGGCAUUGGCUCAGGUUUGGGCUCGGGUUUAGGCUCGGGUUUAGGCAUUGGCUUAGGCAUGGGCUCGGGUUUUGGUUCCGGUUUGGGCAUGGGCUCUGGUUUUGGCUCGGGUUUUGGCAUUGGCUUAGGCAUGGGCUCUGGUUUUGGUUCCGGUUUAGGCAUCGGCUCAG
RNAcentral lists this long non-coding RNA (610 nucleotides) under Brachypodium distachyon (stiff brome). RNAcentral's name for it is "long non-coding RNA (BDIS_LNC001046)". Lineage: Eukaryota; Viridiplantae; Streptophyta; Magnoliopsida; Poales; Poaceae. The record is from RNAcentral.